AUAGCGUAUAUUAAAGUUGUUGCAGUUAAAAAGCUCGUAGUUGGAUCUCAGUUCGAGUCAAGCGGUCCACUUGUUAGUGGUUACUGUUUGACUGAACACUUUACCGAGUUGUCCUAUGGUGCUCUUCACCGAGUGUCAUAGGCGAUCGGUACGUUUACUUUGAAAAAAUUAGAGUGCUCAAAGCAGGCGUAACGCCCGAAUAAUGUUGCAUGGAAUAAUGGAAUAGGACCUCGGUUCUAUUUUGUUGGUCUUCGGAAUCUGAGGUAAUGAUUAAGAGGGACAGACGGGGGCAUUCGUAUUGCGACGCUAGAGGUGAAAUUCUUGGACCGUUGCAAGACGAA
This 341-nucleotide ribosomal RNA is filed under the name Svalbardia bicuspidata. Its description in RNAcentral is "SSU rRNA". It matches the Rfam family "Eukaryotic small subunit ribosomal RNA", at positions 594 to 939 of the family's 1831-position model. Lineage: Eukaryota; Metazoa; Arthropoda; Arachnida; Sarcoptiformes; Ceratozetidae. The record is from RNAcentral.